GACGAACGCUGGCGGCGUGCUUAACACAUGCAAGUCGAACGGCAAGGCCCUGCUUUUGUGGGGUGCUCGAGUGGCGAACGGGUGAGUAACACGUGAGUAACCUGCCCUUGACUUUGGGAUAACUUCAGGAAACUGGGGCUAAUACCGGAUAGGAGCUCCUGCUGCAUGGUGGGGGUUGGAAAGUUUCGGCGGUUGGGGAUGGACUCGCGGCUUAUCAGCUUGUUGGUGGGGUAGUGGCUUACCAAGGCUUUGACGGGUAGCCGGCCUGAGAGGGUGACCGGCCACAUUGGGACUGAGAUACGGCCCAGACGCCUACGGGAGGCAGCAGUGGGGAAUAUUGCACAAUGGGCGGAAGCCUGAUGAAGCAACGCCGCGUGCGGGAUGACGGCCUUCGGGUUGUAAACCGCUUUCGCCUGUGACGAAGCGUGAGUGACGGUAAUGGGUAAAGAAGCACCGGCUAACUACGUG
RNAcentral lists this ribosomal RNA (468 nucleotides) under uncultured bacterium. RNAcentral describes it as "partial 16S ribosomal RNA". It matches the Rfam family "Bacterial small subunit ribosomal RNA", at positions 28 to 507 of the family's 1533-position model. The record is from RNAcentral.